RNAcentral lists this long non-coding RNA (573 nucleotides) under Zostera marina. Its description in RNAcentral is "long non-coding RNA (ZMAR_LNC004096)". Lineage: Eukaryota; Viridiplantae; Streptophyta; Magnoliopsida; Alismatales; Zosteraceae. The record is from RNAcentral.
AUUUUAAUAAAUUCGGUUUUCUCAACUACCGGUUCACGUUGGUUUAGGCGACUAAACCUAGCUCUUCCCCUCUUCUUGACGCAAGGCAUUUAUGGCAGACGAUUAUGCCAAAUAGGCUCCGGUCAUCUCUCUUCUAUUGAGCAAUCAGAUUCUGUGUCCAGUUCCGCACUAACGAUCCCAUUUACUUCAAGACGAAUUCCUCAAUCGCCGCCUUGCCUGAGUCCGUCGAAUCCGGUCAAGCAUCGACGAAGGUCAUUCCACCACAGGUCAUACCAUUUAAUAAGAAGGCCAAGGAGACCUCACCACACAUUGGCGCUCAAUGAUAGGGAUUCAAUUUUUUAUUUGAAUUCCGGCGACCACUCUGGAGCCCUGAUGGUUUCUGAUAAAUUGGUAGGCGAGUCUAAUGUUGUUUUCAGGAAAGCAAAUAAGGGAGAGUGAUUGGGAAGGGUAGAUGACAAGAUGAGCUCUACUUAUAUAGCUUAAAUUUCACCUCUGAAUUCUCAAAUGCAUACAUGGAUUCUAGAAUUUAGCACAAGAGGCUUGAGCACAUCUCUUCUCAAAAGCUUGUUGUGG